UACGGAGGGUGCAAGCGUUAUCCGGAUUCACUGGGUUUAAAGGGUGCGUAGGCGGGUAGGUAAGUCAGUGGUGAAAAUCUUCGAGCUUAACUCGGAAACUGCCUUUGAUACUAUCUAUCUUGAAUAUUGUGGAGGUAAGCGGAAUAUGUCAUGUAGCGGUGAAAUGCUUAGAUAUGACAUAGAACACCUAUUGCGAAGGCAGCUUACUACGCAUAUAUUGACGCUGAGGCACGAAAGCGUGGGGAUCAAACAGG
This 254-nucleotide ribosomal RNA is filed under the name uncultured bacterium. RNAcentral describes it as "partial 16S ribosomal RNA". It matches the Rfam family "Bacterial small subunit ribosomal RNA", at positions 524 to 776 of the family's 1533-position model. The record is from RNAcentral.